Molecule: transfer RNA, 72 nt
Filed under: Ovis aries (sheep)
Lineage: Eukaryota; Metazoa; Chordata; Mammalia; Artiodactyla; Bovidae
Rfam family: tRNA
About the family: Transfer RNA (tRNA) molecules are approximately 80 nucleotides in length.
Source: Rfam by way of RNAcentral
UCCCUGGUGGCUCAGACGGUAAAGCGUCUGCCUGCAAUGCAGGAGACCCGGGUUCGAUUCCUGGGUCGGGAG